UACGUAGGGGGCGAGCGUUGUCCGAAGUUACUGGGCGUAAAGAGCGCGUAGGCGGUCCUUUAAGUGACUGGUGAAAUCCCCGAGCUCAACUCGGGAGGGUCUGGUCAUACUGGGGGACUGGAGUGUGGGAGAGGUGAGCGGAACUCCUGGUGUAGCGGUGAUAUGCGUAGAGAUCAGGAAGAACACCCGUAGCGAAGGCGGCUCACUGGACCACAACUGACGCUGAGGCGCGAAAGCCAGGGGAGCGAACGGG
RNAcentral lists this ribosomal RNA (253 nucleotides) under uncultured bacterium. RNAcentral's name for it is "partial 16S ribosomal RNA". It matches the Rfam family "Bacterial small subunit ribosomal RNA", at positions 524 to 776 of the family's 1533-position model. The record is from RNAcentral.